RNAcentral lists this ribosomal RNA (254 nucleotides) under uncultured bacterium. Its description in RNAcentral is "partial 16S ribosomal RNA". It matches the Rfam family "Bacterial small subunit ribosomal RNA", at positions 524 to 776 of the family's 1533-position model. The record is from RNAcentral.
UACGGGGGGGGGCAAGCGUUGUUCGGAAUUACUGGGCGUAAAGGGUGCGUAGGCGGUCGGGUAAGUCUGAUGUGAAAUCUCACAGCUUAACUGUGAAACUGCAUUGGAUACUAUCCGGCUUGAGGAAUGGAGGGGAGACUGGAAUACUUGGUGUAGCAGUGAAAUGCGUAGAUAUCAAGUGGAACACCAGUGGCGAAGGCGAGUCUCUGGACAUUUCCUGACGCUGAGGCACGAAAGCCAGGGGAGCAAACGGG